RNAcentral lists this ribosomal RNA (232 nucleotides) under uncultured bacterium. RNAcentral's name for it is "partial 16S ribosomal RNA". It matches the Rfam family "Bacterial small subunit ribosomal RNA", at positions 99 to 334 of the family's 1533-position model. The record is from RNAcentral.
CGGACGGGUGAGUAAUGUCUGGGAAACUGCCCGAUGAGGGGGAGUAACUACUGGAAACGGUAGCUAAUACCGCAUAAUGUCUACGGACCAAAGCGGGGGACCUCCGGGCCUCGCGCCAUCAGAUGAACCCAUAUGGGAUUAGCUAGUAGGUGAGGUAACGGCUUACCUAGGCGACGAUCCCUAGCUGGUCUGAGAGGAUGACCAGCCACACUGGAACUGAGACACGGUCCAG